GUGGGGAAUCUUGCGCAAUGGGCGAAAGCCUGACGCAGCCAUGCCGCGUGAAUGAUGAAGGUCUUAGGAUUGUAAAAUUCUUUCACCGGGGACGAUAAUGACGGUACCCGGAGAAGAAGCUCCGGCUAACUUCGUGCCAGCAGCCGCGGUAAUACGAAGGGGGCUAGCGUUGCUCGGAAUUACUGGGCGUAAAGGGCGCGUAGGCGGACAGCUUAGUCAGAGGUGAAAGCCCAGGGCUCAACCUUGGAAUUGCCUUUGAUACUGGCUGUCUUGAGUUUGGGAGAGGUGAGUGGAACUCCGAGUGUAGAGGUGAAAUUCGUAGAUAUUCGGAAGAACACCAGUGGCGAAGGCGACUCACUGGCCCAAUACUGACGCUGAGGCGCGAAAGCGUGGGGAGCAAACAGGAUUAGAACCCUAGUAGUCC
Molecule: ribosomal RNA, 424 nt
Filed under: uncultured bacterium
Lineage: Bacteria
Description: partial 16S ribosomal RNA
Rfam family: Bacterial small subunit ribosomal RNA
Source: RNAcentral